Molecule: microRNA precursor, 199 nt
Filed under: Brachypodium distachyon (stiff brome)
Lineage: Eukaryota; Viridiplantae; Streptophyta; Magnoliopsida; Poales; Poaceae
Description: MIR1435 microRNA precursor family
Rfam family: MIR1435 microRNA precursor family
Source: Rfam by way of RNAcentral
UAACUUUGUCCUAAGUCAAACUUACUAAAGUUUGACCAACUUUAUAGAAAAAUAUAUCAACAUCUAGAAUAUCAAAUAAGUAAAAUAUUAAAAUAUAUAUCAUGAUGGGUCUAAUAAACUAAUUUGGAGUCGUAGAUGUUGGUAGAUUUUUCUAUAAACUUGAUCAAACUUUAAGAAGUUUGACUUAAGACAAAGCUAG